UUCCCAGCCCCCAGUAGUGGGCAUCUUAUAAAGCAAGCUGUUUUUUUAAAAUUUUAUUUUCGUUCAUGUGCAUUGAUGUUUUGUCUGCAUUCAUGUCUGUGUGAGGGUGUUGGAGCCCCUGGAACUGUAGUUACAGACAGUUGUGAGCUACCAUGUGGGUGCUGGGAAUUGAACCUGGAUCCUCUAGAAGGGGAGCCAGUGCUCUGAACCACUGAGCCAUCUCUCCAGCUGCAAGAGAGCUGUUUUCUAAAGAAUGACUUUUAGAUGUGUGUGUGUGUGUGUGUGUGUGUGUGUGUGUGUGUGUGUGUGUGUGUGUGUAUGUGUGUGUGGGUGUGUGUGUGUGUUCUUGUUGUUACUGUUGAUGGUGUGGAUAUGCAUGUGUGUGGAGGCCAGACACAAUAUUUUGAUCUAUUUCCACCUCACUUAACUGGAUCUAGGCAAGUGGCCAGCAACCCCUGGGAUUCCUUGUUUCCACCCAGCACAGGCUGGGGUUACUGGUGCACACUGGGGUUACUGGUGCACACUGGGGUUACUGGUGCACACACUGGGGUUACUGGUGCACACUGGGGUUACUGGUGCACACUGGGGUUCCUGGUGCACACUGGGGUUCCUGGUGCACACUGGGGUUCCUGGUGCACACUGGGGUUACUGGUGCACACACUGGGGUUACUGGUGCACACACUGGGGUUCCUGGUGCACACUGGGGUUCCUGGUGCACACUGGGGUUACUGGUGUGUACACUGGGGUUCCUGGUGCACACACUGGGGUUACUGGUGCACACUGGGGUUACUGGUGUGUACACUGGGGUUACUGGUGCACACACUGGGUUCCUGGUGCACACUUCAAAUUCCACCAAGGCUAAAAAACAUUUAUAGUUCUCACUGAACAUCGACUCCCCACCAACUUUCUGGAAAAAAGUGAAAUAAAGUCCUCCCACGAGACUUUAAAAAUGUAAACUCUCAAUUCCAGUUGUCGGGGUAACAUCCUCACGCUGCCGGAGUUCCAUUUCUAUAUUUUGGUGCUGAUGGACAUCCGUUACCAUGAGAACAGAAAGGGCAUCACACAAAGUGGAUUUGGGUGCUUCUCUUCCCGUCUGGUGAAAAACAAGAUCCACAGGGACAGCCUCAGCUCAGCGCAGAGACCCCAGAGCCGAAUGAUGACAGUUGCUGGGUGUGAUGGUGCACGCCUUCGAUCCCAGCACUUGGGAGGCAGAGACAAGUGGAUCCCUCUGAUUCUGAAGCCAGCCCGUGUUGUUUUCAUUAAAUUCAGUAGCUGCCCCUUAA
This is a long non-coding RNA of Peromyscus californicus insignis, 1283 nucleotides long. RefSeq lists it as uncharacterized. Lineage: Eukaryota; Metazoa; Chordata; Mammalia; Rodentia; Cricetidae. The record is from RefSeq and is a predicted model, not a curated record. The transcript has 2 exons.